GACGAACGCUGGCGGCGUGCCUAAUACAUGCAAGUUGAGCGCUGAAGGUUGGUACUUGUACCAACUGGAUGAGCAGCGAACGGGUGAGUAACGCGUGGGGAAUCUGCCUUUGAGCGGGGGACAACAUUUGGAAACGAAUGCUAAUACCGCAUAAAAACUUUAAACACAAGUUUUAAGUUUGAAAGAUGCAAUUGCAUCACUCAAAGAUGAUCCCGCGUUGUAUUGGCUAGUUGGUGAGGUAAAGGCUCACCAAGGCGAUGAUACAUAGCCGACCUGAGAGGGUGAUCGGCCACAUUGGGACUGAGACACGGCCCAAACUCCUACGGGAGGCAGCAGUAGGGAAUCUUCGGCAAUGGACGAAAGUCUGACCGAGCAACGCCGCGUGAGUGAAGAAGGUUUUCGGAUCGUAAAACUCGGUUGGUAGAGAAGAACGUUGGUGAGAGUGGAAAGCUCAUCAAGUGACGGUAACUACCCAGAAAGGGACGGCUAACUACGUG
Molecule: ribosomal RNA, 497 nt
Filed under: uncultured bacterium
Lineage: Bacteria
Description: partial 16S ribosomal RNA
Rfam family: Bacterial small subunit ribosomal RNA
Source: RNAcentral